GACGAACGCUGGCGGCGUGCUUAACACAUGCAAGUCGAACGCUGAAGCUCAGCUUGCUGGGUGGAUGAGUGGCGAACGGGUGAGUAACACGUGAGUAACCUGCCCUCUUCUUUGGGAUAACGCCCGGAAACGGGUGCUAAUACUGGAUAUUCACUGAUUCUCGCAUGGGGGUUGGUGGAAAGGUUUUUUCUGGUGGGGGAUGGGCUCGCGGCCUAUCAGCUUGUUGGUGGGGUGAUGGCCUACCAAGGCUUUGACGGGUAGCCGGCCUGAGAGGGUGACCGGUCACAUUGGGACUGAGAUACGGCCCAGACUCGUACGGGAGGCAGCAGUGGGGAAUAAUGCACAAUGGGCGAAAGGCUGAUGCAGCGACGCCGCGUGAGGGAUGGAGGCCUUCGGGUUGUAAAACUCUUUCGCUCAUGGUCAAGCCGCAGCUUUGGGUUGUGGUGAGGGUAGUGGGUAAAGAAGCGCCGGCUAACUACGU
This 481-nucleotide ribosomal RNA is filed under the name uncultured bacterium. Its description in RNAcentral is "partial 16S ribosomal RNA". It matches the Rfam family "Bacterial small subunit ribosomal RNA", at positions 28 to 506 of the family's 1533-position model. The record is from RNAcentral.